Molecule: ribosomal RNA, 420 nt
Filed under: uncultured bacterium
Lineage: Bacteria
Description: bacterial SSU rRNA
Rfam family: Bacterial small subunit ribosomal RNA
Source: RNAcentral
AAGGAAUAUUGGUCAAUGGACGCAAGUCUGAACCAGCCAUGCCGCGUGAAGGAUGAAGGUCCUCUGGAUUGUAAACUUCUUUUAUUUGGGACGAAAACGGGAUUUUUAUCUCAAUUGACGGUACCAGAGGAAUAAGCACCGGCUAACUCCGUGCCAGCAGCCGCGGUAAUACGGAGGGUGCGAGCGUUAUCCGGAUUUACUGGGUUUAAAGGGUGCGUAGGUGGGCUUAUAAGUCAGUGGUGAAAGCCUGUCGCUUAACGAUAGAACUGCCAUUGAUACUGUAAGUCUUGAGUAUAUUUGAGGUAGCUGGAAUAAGUAGUGUAGCGGUGAAAUGCAUAGAUAUUACUUAGAACACCAAUUGCGAAGGCAGGUUACCAAGAUAUAACUGACGCUGAGGGACGAAAGCGUGGGGAGCGAACA